Molecule: long non-coding RNA, 20235 nt
Filed under: Gossypium barbadense (sea-island cotton)
Lineage: Eukaryota; Viridiplantae; Streptophyta; Magnoliopsida; Malvales; Malvaceae
Description: long non-coding RNA (GBAR_LNC015946)
Source: RNAcentral
GAAACUCAAAUCCAUGAAGACCCGAAUGUGGCUCUUUUCUUUCUGGAAAAGGAUAUGCACCCCGGGGCAACAAUGAGCCUGCAUUUCACUGAAAAUACAGAGAAAUCAGCUUUCUUACCUUAUCAAACUGCCCAAAAAAUACCGUUUUCAUCUGACAAGUUGCCAGAAAUUUUCAACAAGUUUUCAGUGAAACCUGGAUCACUGAAGGCAGAGAUGAUGAAGAACACAAUUAAGGAGUGCGAACAGCCAGCGAUUGAAGGAGAGGAAAAAUAUUGUGCAACCUCACUGGAGUCAAUGAUUGACUAUAGCAUUUCCAAACUAGGGAAAGUUGAUCAGGCAGUCUCAACAGAAGUGGAAAAACAAACCCCAACGCAGCAGUAUACAAUAACAGCUGGAGUGCAGAAGAUGACAAAUGGCAAAGCUGUAGUGUGCCACAAGCAGAAUUAUGCAUAUGCUGUCUUCUAUUGUCAUAAAUCAGAAACAACAAGGGCUUACAUGGUUCCUUUAGAGGGUGCUGACGGAACAAAAGCCAAAGCAGUAGCAGUCUGCCACACAGAUACAUCAGCAUGGAACCCUAAGCAUUUGGCUUUUCAAGUCCUAAAAGUUGAGCCAGGAACCAUUCCUGUCUGCCAUUUCCUUCCUCGGGAUCACAUUGUUUGGGUCCCUAAGUAAAAGUCCUGAAGAGUAGAUUCAUACACUAUAGUUUCUUCACAGUGUGCAUUAAAACAGCUUAAAGCAAUAUCCAGUUUGUUCUAUAAUAAUAUACCCACAAGUUUAGUCAUGUAAAAUCUAUCCAUGAAUCAUGUUCUUAGUAAUGGAUAAAAUGAUAUUACUUUCUGUAUCACAAGGGUUUGGUGAUAAAUGUAUUAGUAUUUUAAGUAACUUUUCAGACAUCGUAUUCCAAGUAACUUUGCGGACAUUAUGUUUCUCCAUUAGAUUACUAAUUCUCUUUCAUCACAGAUUAGCCAUCUCCACAGGAAAAUUCUCUGAAGGUAAACUAUCAUGUUCAUCACUCGAUUGCAAUCCGAGAAGAAAUUGUUUUUCCUAUGUCCCAAUAGCAGAAAAAUUUUGGACCAAUUUACAUGAUACAUAUGAGAAUUUUCUAAACAGAGUGUCAUGUCAUGUAUCUCGAAGGAUGCUAACUUAAUAUAGUAAGACCAGCAUUAAAAUCUUUUCAGAUAUGAGUAGGUUCCAAAGUACUCAAAUUUGAGCACCUGUACGGAACAAACCAUUGUGUGCACUGUGCAGCUCUUCGUGUCUGAUUCCUCCACCACUGUGAUGAGCAGCUGCAGCAUCCUCAGUGGCUAACCUCAGGCCCUUGAAAGACUUAUUCAACAGAUUAUGGUGAUAAGUCAAAUAAUUAUAAAUGAUGUCGGCUCCACGGAUCCUUUUAUUCCUGCAAUGCGGAUAAAUGCCCAAGAAUGUUUUAUAAUUAGAAAUGCCUGGAGAAACAAACAAAACCUAUUGGUUAGUUGUGUAAUAUAAUUAUAUACGUGUAUAUGUAUAUAUAGAAACAUGAUUCAUGAGGUUGCUUUAAUCAUUUUCUUCCCCAAUAAUCUGAGUUUUACUGCUCUCUAAUGAUUAUUACUAUCCAAUAAAGAAAAAUGACUUCUUAAACCAAUGUUGGUUUGCCAAAAAAAUAAUCCAACAACAAUAUUUGUUUUCUGAUCACCAAAUUGCAGUGCUGAAAUUUUUUUUAAACGAGUGGAUGACACAAAUCUCCACCAAAGCAAAUGGUUAUGAAACAAAUGGGGUCUUAAUGAAGUGGGGGCAAGGGGUGUUGUUCCAAUAGGGUCGGAAGCGUGUAAAUUAUUGUACUAAAAAAUCACACAAAGUUCAAUUCUCAGGGAAGAGAGGUGGAUCACAUGGAUCUCUUAAAUACCAAGUCUUUCCUUAGACAGAAUAUCCCUUCUAUAGUAAUUUAAUAGCACAAUUAAAUACUACUAUUAUACCCUCAAAUAUUGAAAGAAAAAUAGGACAAGAAAGAACACAAGAGUUUUAACGAGGUUCGGUAAAUUAUACCUACGUCCUCGGGCACUAACACCAGAUGAUAACUUUACUAACUUCAAAGUAUUACAAACAAAUAGAAUUCCUUAAGAAUUCUCAAAUGGGAGAAAAAGAAAACUAAGAGAGAAAGAUUGGUUGGGAUGAAUUGAAAUGAGAAAUGAGAAGGCCUAUUUAUAGUUGAGGUUCAAGGACCAAACAAUAAAUAGCCCAUUAUCUCAAGGACCAAAAAAAAAUUAUCCUUGCCACUUUUCCAAAGUUGGUGGUUGUCAUUAUUGAUUGUCUCCCAUUAAUGUUAAUGGCAACCAUUAUUAAUUGUCUUCCAUUAAUGUUAACAAUCUCCACCUUGAAGAUUUGAUUAGGAUAAUCACAUCUUCACACACUUCCUUCAACUCCCCAAAUUCGAUAAAGCUAUCUUUUGUAGUGCCUACAAAUGCGCUCUCGAGCGCCAUACACCUGAAGGUGCUCAAAUUCUCAGUAUGUUAAUCAAGUUCAAACAAUGAUUAAACUUGAUUGUUGUUACCACCUUGGUCAUCAUAUCUGCGGGAUUAUCUGCUGUCGGAAUCUUCUGAAGUAGAAUUUUUCCUUUUUCAAAGACUUCCCGCACAAAGUGAUAUCUUACGUCGAUAUGCUUGGUUCUUGAAUGAUAGACUUGAUUUUUCGCUAAAUGAAUAGCGCUCUGACUGUCACAAUAUAAACUUAUGUGACUUUGAACAACUCCUAAGUCUUUCAACAAUCCAUUAAGCCAAAUAGCCUCCUUAACAGCUUCUGUAACUGCCAUAUAUUCUGCCUUUGUAGUAGACACAGCUACUGUAGACUGUAAGGUAGACUUCCAACUCACUAGGGCUUUCGCAAGAGUAAACAGAUACCCCGUAGUUGAACGACGUUUAUCUAAAUCACCAGCAAAGUCGGAAUCAACAUAUCCAACUACAAACUGACCAAGUGCUUCAUCCUGUUCAAAAAUUAAACCAACAUCUACGAUUUUUCGAAGAUACCGUAGAAUCCAUUUCACAGCUUGCCAAUGUCCUUUUUCAGGAUCAUGCAUAUACCUGCUCACAACUCCAACAGCUUGUGAAAUGUCAGGCCUCGUACACACCAUCGCAUACAUCAAACUCCCAACUGCAUUAGCAUAUGGGACUUUCGCCAUAUAUUCUCUUUCAUCUUUAGUCUUCGGAGAUAAUUGAGCACUAAGUUUCAAAUGAGAAGCAAGUGGGGUACUUACAUGUUUUGUGUUUUCAUUUACACCAAAACAUUGUAAUACCUUUUUCAGAUAUUGCUUCUGAUUUAAACAGAGCUUGCCUCUCGGUCUAUCUCUACUUAUCUCCAUGCCGAGAAUCUUCUUGGCCUCACCUAGAUCUUUCAUCUCGAACUCUUGAUUCAACUGAGCCUUCAGCUUAUCUAUCUCAUUUUGGCUCUUCGAAGCGAUUAACAUAUCAUCAACAUACAAGAGUAGAUAAAUGAAAGAUCCGUCAUGCAGCUUCUGCAAAUAUACACAAUUGUCAUAUUUGCUUCUUGUGUACUUUUGCCUUCUCAUAAAGCUAUCAAAUCGCUUGUACCACUGCCUCGGGGAUUGCUUCAAUCCAUAUAGCGAUUUGUUAAGCUUACAAACCCAAUUUCUACCACCAGCAUCUGUGUAUCCUUCUGUCUGAGUCAUAUAGAUCUCCUCUUCUAACUCACCAUGCAAGAAAGCCGUCUUAACAUUGAGCUAGCUCCAAAUUCAACUGUGCUACCAAGGCCAACAAAAUUCUAAUGGAGGAAUGCUUCACAACAGGGGAAAAUACAUCAUUGUAGUCAAUUCCCUCCUUCUGAGCGUAGCCUUUAGCUACCAAUCUUGCCUUGUAGCGAAUAUCCUUCUUGCUAGGAGAUCCAUCUUUCUUUGCGAAUACCCACUUGCAUCCGAUUGCCCUUUUACCUUUCGGUAAUUGCGCCAACUCCCAAGUAUUGUUCUUCCGGAGAGACUGCAUUUCUUCAUCCAUGGCGCUUUUCCAUUUAUCACUUUCUAAGCUUUGCAUUGCUUCUUGAUAAGUGAUAGGAAUAUCAUCAACAACGAGAAGGGCGUAGGCCACCAUAUCAGUAAAUCGAGUAGGUUUACGAAUUUCUCUCCGUGGCCUUGCAACUGCAACUGGUUCUGGUGUACUUAGUGGUUCUUGGGUCAGAACCUCUUCAACCUCUAAUUCCUCCAUUGUGGCUGGAGAAUUAGACUUAUUGACUGGGCAAAUCCCCAUCUGCUCAAACUCCACCUGUUUUGGAGUACACUCCACCUGCUGUGGAGUAUUGCUCGUCUGAAUAUCUUUAUCUGCUACCUUUUUCAAUGUGGCAGAUUCAUCAAAGGUAACAUCUCUGCUACAAAUCAUUUUCUUUGUGCUUAAGCACCAAAGACGAAAUCCCUUCACUCCAGAAGUGAUUCCUAUAAAGAGAGCUUUCUUUGCCCUCGGAUCUAAUUUUGACUCCUUUACAUGGUAAUAUGUAGUGGUUCCAAACACAUGUAAGGAAUCAUAAUCUGUAGCCGGUUUUCCAGACCAUACCUCCAUAGGAGUUUUUCUUUCUAAUGCAGAUGAUGGCAAACGAUUAACAAGAUGGCCAGCGUAUGUCACAGCCUCAGCCCAAAAUUGCUUGCCCAACCCAGCAUUGGACAACAUACAUCGAACUUUCUCCAGCAAUGUUCGAUUCAUACACUCUGCCAAUCCAUUCUACUGUGGUGUAUCCCUAACUGUGAAGUGUCGAACAAUACCAUACUCUUGGCACACAUCGAAGAACGGAUCACUUUUAUAUUCCCCUCCAUUGUCCAUCCUAAGCCGCUUGAUUUUCUUGCCAGUCUGGUUUUCGAUCAUAGUUUUCCAUUUAAGAAAAACUCUAAGCACUUCAUCCUUAGUUCUCAUGGUAUACACCCAAACUCUUCUGGAAAAGUCAUCAACAAAAGUAACAAAGUAGUGUUUUCCUCCCAAUGAACGUGUCUUGGAAGGCGCCCACACAUCUGAGUGAACAUAUUCCAAAAUACCUUUUGUAUUAUGGAUAACAGUACCGAAUUUCACUCUCUUUUGCUUUCCCAGAACACAAUGCUCGCAAAAUUUUAAUUUGCAAGCCUUUGCACCUUUCAACAAUCCUUGCUUUGCCAGAAUUUGCAAGGAUUUUUCGCUGGCAUGUCCCAACUUCAUAUGCCACAACUGUAUUGAGUCCAAUUCUUUGUUGCCGGAAGCUGCAGCGACUGCUCCAAUAACUGUACUACCUUGGUAGUAAUACAAGUUAUUUUUCCUGAUGCCCUUCAAUAUCACAAGUGCGCCAGAUGUCACUUUCAAAACCCCAUCUCUCAUAGUAACAACUGAACCAUUGGAUUCCAAGGCUCCCAAUGAGAUGAGAUUUUUCUUCAAACUGGGCACGUACCGAACAUCAGUCAGAACUCUGGUUGAUCCAUCUUUAUUCUUUAAUUGGAUUGAACCUAUCCCAACAGUUUUACAGGCAUUGUCAUUGCCCAUAUAAACAACUCCUCCAUUUAGUUCUACUAAAUCAGAGAACCACUCCCGGUUAGGGGACAUAUGAUAGGUACAACCCGAAUCCAAUAUCCACUCAUCUGAAUGGAACGACGAUGAUGAUGCAACCAGUGAUAGUUCAGAGUCACUAGUAUCAUGCUUAGCAACACAAGCAUCUAUAGCAGCUUUUCCCUUAUUCUUCAGCUUUGGACAAUUUUUAUUCCAGUGGCCUUUCUCAUGAUAAAAAGCACAUUCAUCUUUCCCAAGUCUGGACUUUGACUUUGAUCUCCCCUUUUGAGUUUUCUUCCGAGUGUAUGAACGACCUCGGACUACUAAAGCUUCUGUAUCUCUGAUUGAGUUUUUCUGUUUGUCCUUCUUUCUCUGUUCAUAACUGUAUAAGGCCGCACAGACUUCGCUCAGAGAUAUAUCACUCCUGCCAUGAAGUUGAGUAGUUUCUAGGAACUCAAACUCCUCAGGAAGUGACCCCAACAGCAUCAAAGCCAAAUCUUCAUCUUUGAAUGUCUCAUCCAUAUUCAACAAAUCAGUGACUAACUGAUUAAAUUUGGUGAUGUGAUCAUUCAUUGUGGUACUUGGGACGUAUGUGAAGCGAAAUAGUCUUUUCUUCAAGUGGAGCUUAUUUUGACUGUUUUUCUUCAAAAAAAAUUUUUCAAGUGCCACCCACAACUUAUUUGCAGAAGUCUCCUUUGAAAAAGCAUACCUCUGCUCUCGAGAAAGGCAUGAUCGAAUUGUGCCACAUGCCAACCGAUUGAUUGCCUUCCAAUCUUUCUCCUAUACAUCAUCUGGUUUCUCUUCAUCAAUGGCAAUGUCUAGACCCUGCUGAAAAAGGGCAUCUAGAACAUCACUUUGCCACAUACCAAAAUGGCCCGUACCAUCAAAGAUCUCCACGGCCAAUCUUGCAUUUGCAAUUGUCGGUCUUGUCCACAUGGACGAUGUUGAAGCUCCUACACUGACCGUUUUCUCCAUAAUCUUUCAAUAUACCUAAGGAAAUCUUUUCUGAUGUGGAAGAUCAGUUUAAACUGCAACCACAGAGCAUACUACGAUUAACCUUCGGCUCUUGAUACCACUUGUUGUUCCAAUAGGGUCGGAAGCGUGUAAAUUAUUGUACUAAAAAAUCACACAAAGUUCAAUUCCCAGGGAAGAGAGGUGGAUCACAUGGAUCUCUUAAAUACCAAGUCUUUCCUUAGACAGAAUAUCCCUUCUAUAGUAAUUUAAUAGCACAAUUAAAUACUACUAUUAUACCCUCAAAUAUUGAAAGAAAAAUAGGACAAGAAAGAACACAAGAGUUUUAACGAGGUUCGGUAAAUUAUACCUACGUCCUCGGGCACUAACACCAGAUGAUAACUUUACUAACUUCAAAGUAUUACAAACAAAUAGAAUUCCUUAAGAAUUCUCAAAUGGGAGAAAAAGAAAACUAAGAGAGAAAGAUUGGUUGGGAUGAAUUGAAAUGAGAAAUGAGAAGGCCUAUUUAUAGUUGAGGUUCAAGGACCAAACAAUAAAUAGCCCAUUAUCUCAAGGACCAAAAAAAAAUUAUCCUUGCCACUUUUCCAAAGUUGGUGGUUGUCAUUAUUGAUUGUCUCCCAUUAAUGUUAAUGGCAACCAUUAUUAAUUGUCUUCCAUUAAUGUUAACAAGGGGUGUCUUCAGAUGCAUAUGAAUUUGGUUUACAGGCGAGAUAGAUCACAAAUAUUAUAUUGAUAAAAAAAAUUGAUAUCGUUCGUGGAAAAUCAUUAGUGGAAUGAAGGAGUUAAAGUUCACAUGUUAUUCAUAGAAUGAAUUGAAAGAGUUGAGAGUUUUGAGAGAGAAUUUCAGAAAAAUAAUAAGUGGGAUGUGCAUGUUUUUCUAGAUUAUUUGAAGGCAUGUACGUAAUUAUGCACAACUUAUGGAAUAUAAGUGUUUUAUAUGUAUAAUAUAUUUAUUAAGUUACGAUGAAUCCUUUCACACGUUACUUUUAAAGUUAUGUAAAGUCUUAUUUUUAUAAGUAGUUUUAAGUUAAUAUUAAUGUGAUUGGACGAGACCCACAUAUUGAACAUAUAAAAAAAGUAUCGAUAAUCAUGUAAAAUAAAAUGUAAUCUUCAAAGUAAGUGAAUUUUUUUAAUCAAAAUGGAUUGACUUGACGAAAUUUUUUAAAACGAAAUAAAUAAAUAUCAUCUUACAUAUAUUUAUAUAUGUGUGCAAUAUACAUAAAUGUACCCUUAGCCCACCAAAACUUUCUUUCGCAAAUUUUAGACGGCGAACCAAAACCAAGGUACCUAACCACGUCCUACAAACCAGAUGUUCGUAUAGGUUAGAUGCAGGAUUAAGAAGCCACAACCUAUAAGGCUAAAACUUGCCACAUGCCCAUAUGACAUCUUACUUUCAAAAAAAAGAAAAAACAUGACAUUCAACUCAAAUCCUAUACAAAUACCUUUAUUUGUAAGAAGAAAUUUUCUCAUUUAUUGACUAUAAUUAUUAGAUUUUACAAGUAAAAUUUACAAAGUGGCACAGAUAUUUAGUCCAAUGAUAAAUCCGCUUUAUAGAUGAAAAGUAUAAAAAAUUAUAUAUUUUUCUUUUAAAUGAAAGCUAAAUUAAAAAAAAAACAAUUAUAUGGCUGAUUGUUUUUAUUGUAUUUUAAAAAAAGUUAAGUGAGUAGGUUUUUUACCCUGUGAUUCCCAAAAAAAAUGUUGUCAUCGAGGAUUGUUACCUAUACACAGAUAAAUUCAAGGAAAACUAUUUCAUGCAAGCUAAUCAUAUUUAAAAGCAAGCAAAGGGUCGUAAACAUUGUAGAUUGGAGCAUUUCAUGAAACAUAGUUACAAGCUAGAGUAUCAUCCCAUGACCCAUAGCAGUCUUCUAUAUUAUUGGGUUUUUGCAAACUUGGGCUUGAAUACACAAAUAGAAUAUAAUCACAGAAAACUUUGUUUUUUGUGUAUUGAAUUUGGGUUUAUGCUUCAUUUUAUUAUCGACAAUGAUAUCAGAACCUAUUUUAAAUCCAACAUCAUGACGAUUUGAUUUUUAUUUGUUUAAUAAUAUUUUGUCCCCUAACUAAUUGGCAAUUGAAAACUUCUACCCUUUGUAUGCAUGAUUAGUUUAGAAAUUUUGUGCAUAAUUAUCAAGCAACGUCGUGAUUACAAUUCUUGAACUCGAUUCCAUGAUAAGGAGUUCAAAUUUUAAAGUCGACCAAAGCAAGUUAGUAUCUUUCACUCUUUUAACAUAUAUUUCCAACUUCAUAUAUAAACAUUUAUUUAUACUCAUGGUUUAGAAACAGGGCUGAAAAAACUCUCUUGAAAGCAGAUACCAUUGGCGGCAGCCAUGGGUUUAUGUGAAGAAGAAAAGAUGCCUCUAUCUCUAUGAGUAGAAUUAUUGCAGUGGGUCACACCUUCGCUUUCAUUUACUUCAACUUCUCAGGUAAUAUUCCAACAUUACAGCGUUGAAUUGUUUGCAAAUUUAUUUACCUCAUAUUCCCACUUUCUUUGAUCUCUCCUUGUCCCAACCACGUUGGAUUUUGAACCAUUUGGUCUUAUAUUACAUAACAUACAAAUGAAAAGAAAAGAAAAACAUUUGCGAUUCCGACCAUAAAUAAAUAAUGUUCUGUUCUGUAACGAGAAACAGCCAAAGCUUCCAGCACUUACAAUAAUAAUAAAAGUAAUGAGGGUAAAGGCUUCAAAGUUUUUUUUUUUUUUGUUUUUUUUUAAAUAAAGGAUAAGGAGUAAGGAUUAUCUUAUGAUCCAACUUAGCAUUAGUGUUUAAUUGAAAAUUUAAAUACAAUAACUUCAAGAUAGAGUACAGUGUCCGUGUGGUGUUUGUUUUUCUACCUUCCCUGCAGGAUCCGAAACUUCCAAUUCAAGUUUCUUGCUAUAGAUAAGGUGUUUCGUAAGAAAACGUAAGUCUUAAAAGAGUUACAAGACAGCACCAGUUAUAUGGCCCUUGCUAGAUUCAUAGUUACUUUCCCAUGUACCGACUCUAAAGUGAAUGACUUUUUUUUUUCUUUGCAUAGCACUUUUUUUUUCCCCGAAAAGGAUAGGUAUCAAAAUGAUAUAUGUAUUUUAGGGCCAACACUCAGAACCACUUUUUGACCACUCAUAGUUUAGUUAAAAUCAAAUUUCGUUCUGUCUUUUGACACACUAUUUUCUCUGUCUAUUGAAAUGCUCUUCUGCUGUUGUUAGCACGCUUUCGUCUCUUGUUUUGCUUGUUGUUUAUUUUCUUUGAUUUAGUCAUUAUUGUAGUUAAGAACAUUGAUGAUUCUAUAGCAGACCUGUCACUGGAGUAUGAUGAAGAUGAAACCAUUCAAUUAGGGGCCGAAUCUUCAGAGAGUGAAACCUUGUAUGCUAAUUGUUUUGUAGGAAUGUUUCUUACCUCCAGUGUAGUUAAUUUCCAAGCGAUGAGAUUGACUUUGGCUAAUUUUUGGCAUCCAAUAGAGGGAGUCUCAAUCUCGAAUCUAGGCAAUGAAAGAUUCUUAUUCAAAUUUUAUUUUGAAGUUGACGUGGACAAAGUUGAAAAAAAUGGGUCAUGGAAUUUCAACUCUCAUCUAUUGGUGCUACAUCGGUUAAAGGAAGAGGAAGACCCUUUAUCUGUUCAAUUAAAUUGGGUAGACUUUUGGAUGCUUAUCCAUGAUCUUCCCCUUGGUUUCAUGUCUGAAGCGGUUGCUAGACAGUUGGAUAGUUUUAUUGGUGUUUUCCUUGAAUAUGAUGCAUCAACGACUCAGUUGGGUUAUAAAAGAAUAAUGAUGUUAAAUGUGCGAAUUGAUGUUAGAAAACCAUUGAAAAAGAAGAAGAAACUCACCUCUCGAAUGGUGAGUGGAUUUAUGUUCGAUUUGAAUAUGAAAAACUCAUUUUAUUUUGUUUCCUUUGUGGUAAACUAAGGCAUGGUAAAACUUUUUACCCGAUCAGAGCUCACAAUCCGCUACAAGAGUAUGUUUUCCGUUGGGAUAUAUCUUUACGUGCUCAGUUAAGGAAAAAUUUGGCUUGGAAGAGUAGAUGGUUGGUGGAGGAUGACGAUUGUGGUACUUUAAUUUAUGGAAACUAUAACACCCCUAACCCUUAUCCGUCGCCGGAACAGGGUUACAAAACAUUACCAGACUUUACAGAUUAAAUAUGAACAUUUCACAACUUUUAUUAUACAUGUUAAGAAUCAGUUAUAAAACACUCAUGUUGUCCCUUAGAUGGACCCUCAAGGCACAAUAUACACUUUAGAAAUGAAUUGGGACUAAACCGGAUACUUAGAGAAUUUUUCCUAAAAUCUCAAAAAAAUUUCUUAAAAGUAGGGGACACACGUCUGUGUGGCUCACACAGCCAGGAGACACACCCGUGUCUUAAGCCGUGUAGGCAUUCGAUGUGAGGCACACAACCGUGUCUCAGCCCGUGCCCUUACCCGUGUAACUCUCUGACUUGGGUCACACGGCCAUCCACAUGCCCGUAUGCUAGGCCGUGUGCAAGAUGUAAAGGUCACACAGCCAAGCCACACACCCGUGUGCUAAGCCGUGUGUAAAAACUUGAGCAUUCUGUUUUAAAAUUUUAAGGUGCAGGGGACACACGGCCAGACCAUACGCCCAUGUGUCAGGCCGUGUGGACGAAAAUAGACCAUUUUCAAUACAUCAAAUAGCCCCAAUCAAACAAUCAACACAAGCCAAAAAUCAUGUUUUAAACAUAAUAUAUCAUCACAAAACUCAAUUGCCAAAACUUACCAAAAUAACUCCGUUCAUUGAUUUACCAAAAUCUACUACUAAAUAUAUGCAUACUAACACAUAUAUAUGUCAUUCACAACCAUACUUCAAAUUUAGCUCUUUUCUAACUCGGCCCUAUACAUGUCAUAUAAACCAUAAAAUGUAUAACAAAAUCUACUGGAGCAAACUAGAUAGUGUGGCUCUAUGUGUUGAUCCGAUGCUUUAAACUUCUUAAAAAUCUAAAAAGAACAUUAAACGACACAGUAAGUUUAAUGAAGCUUAGCAAGUUCGCUGGCUUUAAAUAUAAAUCUUACCGAACAUACUAUAAUAAUUUAUUUAGGUAAAUUAUUUCACAAACAUUUCCUGCCAAUCACAACUUCAAUUAAUGAAUUCACUCAUUUGAGCUCAAUAUCAAUAAUAACUUAAAUUCUUCCACAUUAAUUCCAUUUGGCACUUACCAAUCAUUAUCAAACCAGAGAACGUCUUACGGAUUUGAGUACAUCGUAAAUAGAAAUCCAUAAGGGUUCAUCUAAAGCUCAAAAGAGUUAAACGGAAACCCAUUAGGGUUAAAUUGAAGCUCAAAAGAGCUAAACUGAAAUCCAGAAGCGUUAAUUUGAAACUCAUGAGUUUACUGAAGCUCGUGAGAGCUAAACGGAAAGCAAAUACGAGAGUUCGCAACAAAUGUUGAACAUCGGUUUACUUGGGUAAUUUUACCGUCAAUUCCUAUUUUGCACUAAACGACUAUACUCAAUCCUACGUUCCAUUCACUUCAAACACUUGAUGCAAUUUCAUAAAUUUAACAAUAAUUUUAUUUUCAACAAAUGUUACGAAUAAAUACAAAAAAUCAUUCAUCAAUUAACAUAUCACAUUAAAUUUUAACCAUUAGAACUUACCUGGGUUAAAUUGUGGAAAUUGUAAUGGUUCAGAGAUUAUUUGGCUAUUUUCCCAUUUUUCGCGUUGGUCUAAGGGCUCUUGAUCUAAAAUAUAAAAUUAUUAAUUCAUUAGCACAUGCUUCAAUUCUAAUUCACUUCACAAUUUAUACCACUCAAUUUUUGAAAUUAUACAAUUACCUCAACUUUUACAGUUUUUGUAAUUUAGUCCAUCGCCAAUUAACUCAUCAAAUAAGCUAAUUUUUCUCAAGUAACACUUUAUCUAAAUAUUUUAAACUAUUACACAGCCUUUGAUAAACAUAAUUUAAUACUAAACCCUAAGAUUUAAUUUUUUUACAAUUUGGUCCUAAAAUCAAUUUCCCUUGAAAGCACUUGAUAAAAUCAUCAUAUAACAAAAUUAAAACUUCAAAUCCAUGUUAAUUCAUCAUAAAAAUGCAGCACUCAUCAAUGGUAGCUUUCAAGAUUACUCAUAAAAUCAAAAACUAAUGAAUUAGAUAGUUAGACCUAAUUACAGAAGUCUUAAAAACACAAAUUUUAAGAAAAGAGCAAGAAUUGAACUCACAUGUAGCAAAAUAUGAAAUCCAACUUCUUAAGGGUUCUUCAAUGGUGUUUUUAGCUGAUAAAUUGAAGAAGAAUAACUUAGAAAAGUUGAGAAUUCAAUUUAUUUAAGUUUAUUUCACAAAAUUUACAAUUUUGCCCUUUAAUCACAUGAUUUUUGUUUUCUUUUCUGCUUAUGCCGCCUCAGGCCUUUGUUUUAGGCAUAAUUGCUCCUUAAGUCCUUCUUUGUUCAUUAAUUAAGUCAUUUAAUCAUUAUUUCUUUAAUUAGCAAGUUUUGCACCUUUUUCUAAUUUAAUCUUUUUUAAUUAAUUAACUAUCGAAACGUUAAAAUUUUCUAACGAAAUAUUUAUAAAAAUAUUUACAGCUCAGUUUAUAAAAUCGAGAUCUUGAUACCUCGUUUUCAAAACUAGUUAAUCUAACAAAUAUUUCUAAAGCAUAAAUCACUAAUUCAUAAGCCUUCUUAAAUUCAGAAUCGAAUCAAAAACACUAUAUAAUAAAAUUUAUGAAUUAAUUUAUCGGAUUUAGUGUUCUCAAACUACUAUUUUCGAAACUACUGAAAAUUGGACUGUUACAAAAACUCUAUAAAAAUACGGAAAGGAGAAAUUUUGAGGUUUCAUAAUCUGUUUGCAUAAAUCAAUGAGCAAAUUCAGAAUUUAUUUCCAAUUAUUCCCUCUCAACAAAAGGAAUGGUGAAUGUCUAGUUGACUUCAAGCCCAAUAAAUAUGGGUGAAAUGGGUCGAGCUUACAACGAAGCUAGGAACAUCUUUGAUGCGAAUAUGGCAAUUUAUGAGGAGGAGAAUAACCCAAUAAAAUAAAGUGAUGGGCUAAAAAGACCUUUUUUUAAGUCUACUUCAGGAGUUUCUAAUAAGGAAGAUUUGAAUGAAGUUUCGGGUACUCUAUUACAGGUACCAAAUUCUAGUAGAUCGCCAGGCCCUGCUAAGUGGGCUAGUCGGAUGCAAUGAAGCUGUUGAGUUGGAACAUUCAGGUAAAGGGGAGGUCUUGGACAGUUUGUUGUCUCCAGCAUAUGCUGAGAGAUAUAAAUCUCUCUAUAGUGUUCCUAAUUGAGAUGAAACUAUAGGGUUUUAAUAUGGAAGGAACAAGACGCAAAUGUGGAUUUCUUAAUGGGAUGGAUGUUGAUUCAUAUGGUAGAAGUGAGGGUUUAUCAAUGGGUUGGAGUAGCGAUUAUAAGAUUUGUCUUCGGUCUUUUUCGAGAAGGGACAUUGGCAUUAUGAUUGAUAAGGAUACUGAUGGUAAAACUUGGUGAUGUACGGGGUUUUAUGAAGUGCCCGAGGAGAAUCUGAGGAGGCAUCGUAAAAUUUAUUGCAUUCUUUAGAUGACUGCCCACAUAUCCCUAUGUUUGUAAUAGGGGAUUUUAAUGAAAUAGCUUAUUCAUCUGAAAAGAAAGGUGGAUUACUUCAGAGGGAGAGACAAAUGAGAAGAUUUUGGGAAGCUCUUUAUGAUUGCUCUCUUACAGAUUUGGGCUAUAGAGGACAAUGGUUUACCUGGGAAAAAGGUCGUACUCGAGCAAACAAUAUUAGGAAACGUUUGGAUCAAAGGGUAGCUAAUGCAGUUUGAUGGGAUUUAUUUCAAAAUUACAAAAUGCAUCAUCUCACGCAUUCUUUUUUAUUGCAAUCAGAUUUUGAAAAUAAUCAUGCGAAAUGGUGUCACUUCAAGUUCGAGGUUGCGUGGCUUUUGGAAGAAACGUGUGAGUCAAAUGUUCUAAAAUUAUAGACUGAAAAUUUGGGUGAUGUCCUUAAUAGAUUGAAGGUGUUUGGUGUGGGCCUUAAAGCGUGGUUCAAAAGGAUUAAAAAGAUAGGGGUUUGUCGAAAAAAGAUCUUAAGAAGCAAUUCAUUAAGUUGAACAAAUCAUACCUAACUGAUGAGGUGUUGGGUGAUAUUGUUGAGAUAAAACUAGCCCUUAAUAUGGAGGCCGGUAGGGAGGAACUCUACUGGGAACAAAGAGCCAGAGCUAAUUGGAUGAAAAAUGGUGACCGAAACACAAAAAUUGCAACAAAAAGAAGACGAAGGAAUAUGAUGGAUAAACUACUAGAUUUUGAUGAAAAUUAUUAUAAGAGCAAUGAGGAGCAGUUGUCACUUGCCACUGACUACUUUGCCUCUCUAUUCACUUCAACUAGAAUCGAAAAUCCAGGUUCUAUAUUAGAAGGGGUUGAGCCGUGCAUUACUCGAGCAAUGAACGAGGAACUUGCAAAGGAUUUUUCUUACGAGGAUAUUUGUAUGGCGUUAAAAUCAUGAAUACAUUAAAGACUUCUGGUGAGGAUGACUUGGGUGCAAUUUUUUAUCAAUGGUUUUGGCAUAUUAUGGGUAAAGAGGUAGCAAAUUAUUGUAUUGAGAUUUUAAAUGGAGGCACAAUAUCGCUGAAAUCAACCAGACACAAAUUGUUUUAAUCCCUAAGGUUAGCUGUCCAUGAAUUAUGGCUCUAUUUAAACCGAUUAGCCGUUAUAAUACCCUUUACAAAAUUAUUGCAAAAAUGCUAGUGAAUAGGUUUUAAAAAGUCUUUCACUAUUGUAUAGAUGAGGUACAAAGUGCAUUUGUACCAGGGAGGCUUAUCACUGAUAAUAUUUUAGUUGUCUAUGACGUUUUACACUCCAUGAAAAAGAAAAAGAAAAAGAUAAGAGAUGAAGGGUCUUUUGCUUUGAAGCUUAACAUGAGUAAAACGUAUAAUAGACUAAAGUGUGCGCUCAUUAAUGUCAUGCUUAGCCGAAUGAGUUUCUCGAAGUUGUGGGUUCAGAAAAUUAUGAGAUGUAUUGAAAUGAUUUCUUAUUCUGUGGUUAUGAGCGGAGAGGUGGGUAAUUUGUUUCUUCCUUAUCGGGGGCUUAAACAAGGGGGCCCACUUAAUCCUUAUUUAUUUCUUAUUUGGGGAAGGUCUGUCAUCUUUUCUUAGAAUGGCUGCUACAAGUGGGGAUCUCAAGGGUGCUUGCAUUAAGAGACACGCUCCAGUUAGCACCCACUUGUUAUCUUUGCAAAUGACAGUCUUAUCUUUGGAAAGGCCACAACAGAUGGGGCUAUGGUGCUUAAUGAAAGACUGGAGAUUUAUGCCAAUAGUUUGGGUCAAUUAAUAAUUUUUGAUAAGUCUGGUAUGUUUUUAGUUCCAAUGUUGAGUAGAAUAGCAAAAAAGAGGUUUAUCGAAUUUUAGGGGUUAAUCCAAACAUUAAUCCAGAAAAGUAUAUUGGUCUCCUUUAAAUCGUGGGGCAAAACAAAAAGAGGGCUUUUAGGGAGAUAAAAGAAAAUCUAAUUAAAAGAGUGUUUAGUUAGAGUUCGAGAAUGCUUUCGGUGGGUAUAAAAGAGGCCCUUAUCAAAAUAGUAUUUCAGGGAGUUCCCAUGUAUACCAUUUCUUAUUUCUUGAUGCCCAAUUCCUUUUGUAAGGAACUUGAAACUGUUAUUGCUAGAUUUUGGUGACAGAAGAAAGCUGGGAGGAAUGGUUUACAUUGGAGUUCUUGGAAACCAUUGUGUAUUCCAAAAGAGGAUAAAGGUAUGGGUUUCCGUAAUCUUUCUAAAUUUAAUAUUUCUUUAUUAGCAAAACAAUGUUAGAGAUUGAUGGAAAAUCCAGGCUCGUUAACAAGAUUAAUUCGAGAAAAAUAUUAUCACGGUUUAAAUUUUCUAGAAGCCCCAUUGGGCUCAUACCCGUCCCUAAUUUGGAAAAGUAUAUGGUGUUCCAAAGCUUUGUUAAAAUCUGGUAUUGGAUGAAGGAUUGGUUCUGGGCUAUCUAUCUUGAUAUGGCAAGACUAUUGGUUACCGAGGAAGAAUAGAGCACUAAUUACUACAAACAAGGUAGCAAGAUUGGAAUGUGUAAGUGAUUUGAUUCUCCCAAACCCAAAUAGAAGAGAUCGACAAUUAAUCUACUCAACUUUCACGGAGGAAGAAGGAAAUUUGAUUGUAAGAAUCCCUAUACCUAUCACUAAUCAAUCUGAUAAAGUAAUAUGGUCUAGAGAAAAAUCAGGUUUUUAUUCAGUAAAAAGCAGUCACAAAGCCUUCAUCGAACUUCUCAUUUGAGUACUAUUGAGCAAUAUAAUUUUAAGCAAAUUUGGAGUUUAACGUGCCUAUCAAAAAUUCACAUUUUAAUGUGAAAAUUUGCAAAUAUAUAUAUUCCUACUUUCCAGAAUUUGCAUUAUAGAAGAAUUUUGUCAGAGAAUAGUUACCCGCGCUGUCAGGAUUGUAGUAAAUCACAUGUUCAUGUUGCUCGAUACUGUGCAUUCACUAUGCAUGUUUGAUCAAAAUUAAAUUAUCAGUGGCCAAGUUCAAUGCGUCUAUGAGUUUUAACAACUGGUUAAACUGGCUAUUCAUAAAUUCAUCCAGUAACAGUAAAGGGGAAAUAGCCAUUACAAUUUGGGCAAUCUGAUUUUCCCGCAACAAACUGAUACAUGAAAGAAAAGUACAAAGUGUGGAGGAAGUUGUUACCUUUAUCAGGGGUUAUGGCAGGGAGUACAAGAGGCGUUUUGGAAUAUUACAACACCCCUGACCCAGAUAGUUGAUAAAAUGGGAGCCCCCCCUACGAAUUGGGUCAAAGUGAAUGUUGACGUCGGUUUCUCAGAGGCAAAACAACAUGCAACAUUGGGUUUCUUAAUUAGAAAUGAUGAAGGUCUUAAAAUAGGGUCGGGAAUCAGAACUCAUAACCUAGUUAGAUCGGUGGUGUUGGCUAAAGCGAUGGCUGCUCUUCACGGGCUCUAGUUUGCGUUGGAGAUGGGUUUCACGAAAAUUAUUUUGGAAAGUGACUCUAAAACAAUUAUUAAAAACCUCCAAGCAACAAAGGAAGACUAUUCAGAGAUAAGACCGAUUACUUGGGAUGUGAAGGCUCUUACAAUGAAAUUUUCUUCAUGUCAUUUUGAGUUCGUUGCGGGAGAAGGUAACGCAGUGGCGCAUGCGAUGGCGGUCGAAGGGAUGAGAAGAUCAGAAGACUCGUUCUGGGUUGAAGAUGCCCUAUUAAAAGCGAUGGAAAUGGCAGAUUUGGAUCGUCUUUUCAUCUGGCCACCAUAAUUUCCCUCCUCUGCUGCUCGCUGCUCUGGGUUGAGAACUUCUGAUAUUCUAAAGGUAUAUCUCAACUCCCUUCCAUUGUUUGCUAGUUCUGAUUACCAGAUCUCGCAAGGUUUUGGCUGUUUGGGUUUUCUGGUCACUGAAGGGUUUGGAAGAAGCUUCUAGAGUUGCAUCAUGUUUUAUUUUCUUUAUUUUAUCUGUUUGAACUUCAUUUUCUAUCUGCUUUUGUUUUGGACUUCCAAGCCCAUUUUAAUCAAAAUGAACCGUUUAUUCAAAAAAAAAAAUAACUUUUUGACAAAAAAAAUACUUUUAAGCAAAAGCUAAAAAUUUUUAGUUUUGCUUUUGAUAAAAAAAAUAAUUUUGUAAAAUAUUUUUUUAUCUCAAAAAUAUUUUUAAAAAGCUCAAAAGUAUAUUGUUUAGUAAUAUUUUCAAAUCAAAAGUAUUUUUUGUCUCAAAAAUACUUUUGAAAAGUAAUACUAAUCAGACUCAAAAGUAAUUACGAUUUUUUUGUGUCCUUAGACACCGAUAGACACUCAAUUUGAUUGUUGGAACUGAAAAAAAAAGAAGUGUUACUUUCAUGUAUUUUCCAAUUAUUAUAUAUAAGGAGAUGGUAGUGAAACACUUUUUUUUCUCAAUUAAAAAAAAAAUUUAAGUGAGUAGUUUAUGGGAGAGUGAGUAGUUUUCUUUUUAGAUCUGACUUUUUUAAAGGUUGGAAUUAAUGAAUAUAAAAGUAAAAAGAUUGGUAAAUAUUGAUUAUUUACUGUUUUGUUCUACAUUUUCUUGAUUUAUAUUAACUUUUAAAGAGAUUUUAGUAACGUCAGUUAAGACCAUAAACUUAAUCAGAAAUAGUAAAAAACUUUAUGGCAGAAAAAAGUAAAAAAUAACUAAAAAAGAAAAAGGGAACUAAAAUAUGAUAACCUCUUAAUCCACUAAUGAAAUAAAAAUUUCACUAUUUAUAAUCUACUUCCCUUUUCCGGGCCAGUGUUUCAAACUAGAAACUUCUUUGGGUCAUCUUCAUAUUAGAUUGAAGCCCGAUUUUAGGUUUAUGUACCAAAACCAAAAAUUAGUUAUGUUUGGUAAAUGAAUUUGAAUACAUGCACCACCACUCUCAAUGCUCACCCACCUAAGCCCAUGACAUAAACUGCAUUUAAGUGAACCAGUGGCAGUUGGAGCCAUUAUGUUGGUUGAAAAAUAUUGUUGGCAGUGUUAUUCAGCAGUACUUGUUCUAAGGCUCCUACUACAUUUCUCAUUAUAAAUGUGGAGAAAUCUUGUUCUACUUUCCAUUCCAUGCAACACUAACUUUUAGAUUCCCUUUCCAUUGCACUGCUCUUUCUUUCUAUAGAAUUAGUCACUCCUGUUCUAGAUGAAGGUUCUCUCCCCAAUUCUUGCUUGCCUAGCGGUAAGUUUUUCGAUUUCAUGUGAUUAUUCGUUGUUGAAUGCAAAGAACUAUGAAGGGUUUUUUUUUACCUCAACUUUUCUUGUUUGUUAUUUGUUGUUACAGCUUGCUGUGGUGGUAAGCCAUGCUGCUCUCUCACCUGAGCAAUAUUGGAGCUAUAAGCUGCCAAAUACUCCAAUGCCAAAGGCUGUCAAAGAAAUUCUACAUCCAGGUGAGUGUUUAAUAUCCCAAGAAUUCUUUUUUUUUUUUUUGAAUCAUGUUUACUCACCGACAAAACAGGACUACUGUGAUAUAAGCCCUCAACUUGAGAUGGUCAGGAAAGUGAGGACUGUAGAAUAUCAGACCCUGGUUUCCCAUAGAAUUGAAUUGAGCCUAAUGCAGCAAACAAUCAUGUAAUCGUGGAAGCCGGGUAAUAAUCAGAAAUGAGGUGCUUAACAUAGUUCUGUUCCUGCAAUUUAUUAAAAGAGAAAGAGCCAGGAUACUUUCUGUUUAGCAAUAUAUUUCAGAAAACAUAGGAAUAGGAUGUGUUCUGCACAUAUUGACUUAUUAUGAAAAAAAUUGUUGGAAUCAUGCAUUCAUCAGCAUGUAUAUGAGCUCUCUAGCCCAUUUUGGUGUAUUUGCAGAACUGAUGGAGGAGAAAAGCACCUCUGUAAAUGUAGGAGGUGGUGGUGUAAACGUCAAUACAGGAAAAGGGAAGCCUGGGGGUGACACCCAUGUGAACGUUGGAGGCAAAGGAGUUGGAGUGAACACGGGAAAGCCAGGGGGUGGCACUCAUGUGAAUGUUGGAGACCCUUUUAAUUACCUAUAUGCAGCCAGUGAAACUCAAAUCCAUGAAGACCCGAAUGUGGCUCUUUUCUUUCUGGAAAAGGAUAUGCACCCCGGGGCAACAAUGAGCCUGCAUUUCACUGAAAAUACAGAGAAAUCAGCUUUCUUACCUUAUCAAACUGCCCAAAAAAUACCGUUUUCAUCUGACAAGUUGCCAGAAAUUUUCAACAAGUUUUCAGUGAAACCUGGAUCACUGAAGGCAGAGAUGAUGAAGAACACAAUUAAGGAGUGCGAACAGCCAGCGAUUGAAGGAGAGGAAAAAUAUUGUGCAACCUCACUGGAGUCAAUGAUUGACUAUAGCAUUUCCAAACUAGGGAAAGUUGAUCAGGCAGUCUCAACAGAAGUGGAAAAACAAACCCCAAUGCAAAAGUAUACAAUAGCAGCUGGAGUGCAGAAGAUGACAGAUGACAAAGCUGUAGUGUGCCACAAGCAGAAUUAUGCAUAUGCUGUCUU